Long non-coding RNA from Paramisgurnus dabryanus, 775 nucleotides. RefSeq lists it as uncharacterized. Lineage: Eukaryota; Metazoa; Chordata; Actinopteri; Cypriniformes; Cobitidae. The record is from RefSeq and is a predicted model, not a curated record.
UACACGUUUUUAAACAUCCUUUUGUGUGUAAGUGUGCAUUAGUACAUGCUAACGAUAUUCAAAAAGUACAUACCUCAAAGAAAACGAUGACGCGAGUUAUCGUCUCUAACGUUCGAGGACUACAAAAAACACUCGGAUUGUAGGCAACAGUUUACUUCCUGGGAUUAGUGACGUAGAUAAGACCAACAUUAUCAUAGUUCAGCCCUCUCUGCUUUGCUUGGGUACGCCCUCAAAGACGAGGGUGGGGAGCGCCGAGUCAGAAGAGAGCUAAAAUGGCGGAGGUUGGGAGUCCCUGCUUUUACUCUGUUUGCAAACUCUUGUUUCAUUGUUUAAGCGAUUAAAUCUCUCGAGUAGACGCUGUCUCUUUAGAUGCGAGGGCAAAAUAGCACUUUAUGGACUUACACAGAGGACAUCAUGUUUAAUACGGUUCCGGAAAAAUCCAGUCAGAAGUUGUUCACGGAGUUUUCACAAUAACUGCUUCUCAUGAACCAAAGCUGGAUUUGCGCGAGGUCUCCUCUUGAAAGUUGGAUUACUGUGCACUUCUGGAUCACAGGCUAUUCGCAGCUGGACACAUCCUUCUACACUGUAUGCAAACAUGCAACAUCAUAACACACAGUACAAGGAGUCAGACUGGCAUAUGAGGAGCAAAGGAACCCAGGCAGUAGCAUCGUUUCACAAUGUUUCCAUCACCAUCAUCAGUGGAUGCCUUUGCCGUCCGUAGCCUGAGAUUUCAGAUUUGCAGCAAAAAUUUUUUGAUUUUCUCAUUUAUUGGAAU